GACGAACGCUGGCGGCGUGCUUAACACAUGCAAGCCGAACGGUAAGGCCCUUCGGGGUACACGAGUGGCGAACGGGUGAGUAACACGUGGGUGAUCUGCCCCGCACUUCGGGAUAAGCCUGGGAAACUGGGUCUAAUACCGGAUAGGACUCCGGACUGCAUGGUCUGGGGUGGAAAGCUUUUGCGGUGUGGGAUGGGCCCGCGGCCUAUCAGCUUGUUGGUGAGGUGAUGGCCUACCAAGGCGACGACGGGUAGCCGGCCUGAGAGGGUGACCGGCCACACUGGGACUGAGAUACGGCCCAGACUCCUACGGGAGGCAGCAGUGGGCAAUAUUGCACAAUGGGCGCAAGCCUGAUGCAGCGACGCCGCGUGAGGGAUGACGGCCUUCGGGUUGUAAACCUCUUUCAGCAUCGACGAAGCGAAAGUGACGGUAGGUGCAGAAGAAGGACCGGCCAACUACGUGCCAGCCGCCGCAGUAA
Molecule: ribosomal RNA, 478 nt
Filed under: uncultured bacterium
Lineage: Bacteria
Description: partial 16S ribosomal RNA
Rfam family: Bacterial small subunit ribosomal RNA
Source: RNAcentral